This is a long non-coding RNA of Takifugu rubripes (torafugu), 2134 nucleotides long. The record is from Ensembl. NCBI's taxonomy places the organism in Eukaryota, Metazoa, Chordata, Actinopteri, Tetraodontiformes, Tetraodontidae.
AAACCUUCUGGGAUCAGCUCGUUUCCACCACAUUUCCAAGGAAGGUUGAUGCAGGGAUUCUGCUGUCAGGGAAAAACCUUCCCUUCCCCUUUGAAAACAGUGACCAGGUCUGGGUUUUGUCUCCUUCUGAAUAAUUUAAGAUGUUCUUGCCGGACCGACCCUCAGAAAAGACUCAGAUUGCAGCUGCAGCCUCCAGCCGUGUUCCCUCCCCCCAAACAUGCGUCUGUGUACAUUGAGCUGCUGUUGCAAAGCAGCUGUUUUAAUGUGUUCUUCCUUUAAUGCAGCAAAAGUUGCUACGCUUUUUUAAUAGUUUCCACUCUCCCUCCUCUUUUUCCAGGCCGGUACUGGUUUUUAUACCACAGAGAUGUUUGCCUUUUGGGGGGAUAAUUGGCAGCAAAUGGUUCUCCAGGGAGCUGCCUCUGAGGACCCUGCAGACCCCAACAACCCCCCCACCCCGCUCGCUGGGCGAUGGAUGUUACGCAACAUUAGGGGACGUCACCUCUGAGGAAUGCGAGAAAGGAGGGGGCACUUGCUGUGGCACCAGGGCGGUCGCAGUCGCAAAGACUCAUCAUGAUCCAGAUCCAGUCCAGGUCUUUGGGGACCAGGACGGCUGUUCUGCCCUUUAAAACCACCAUCGCUUGAGGAGCUCCACGUUUGUUACCCUUGACCUCAACGUCACUGCGAGAGAGCCAACACAACUGAGACGCGACCUGAAAGACAAUCGGGCUCCAAAAGCAACCCAGCCGAGGCGGGGAUCUGGUAUUCGCACCACGUGGACCCCAGUUUCAGGGUAGUCUGUAGGGUUUUUCGUUCGUCCACAUUUCAGGCAUAUUUUUUUGUUUGUGUGAGGAAUUAUCAGCUAAAAGACCUUAAAAAAACAGCCUGAAUCGAUUCUCGACUGAUUUUUCUCUGUCUUGAAUCUUUGAGCGCAUGUCUGCAGGCUGUGAUUAGGCCAUACUGAUCCCUGAGCUGCGUGCAUGUGUGUGUGUGUGUGUGUGUGUGUGUGCCCUUUUGCCCCCUAUGUUGUCAGACAUAAUCUCAGCAGUUAGAGGGAUGAGACGGAGGGAUUAUUUGUGUGUCUGACGUGGAUUCCUGCCUCCUCAGGUAUUAAAGCCGACAUGAUGACGGCGUUCCUUUGCCCGAGCACCAGCACACCCAUCACUUCCACUCUAAUCGUCCCAGUGCUGAACCCACAGGAAGAGACGUGAUGGAUUUCAAAGUAAACUUGUGCUGAGGCUCCUGAUGGCAGGCUCUUUAGAUUGUCCUUGAAAAGUGUGCGAUGAUGAAAACAACAGGGCAGAUGAAGAGAGAGUGAAAGAGGCAGAAAGAAAGAGGAUGAAAGAAGAUAAAGAAGUGCUGAAUCCCGUUGAUGUGGACCACCUGAACCUACAGCCAUCUGUCCCUGGUCCGAUACUACACCAUCAGCUCCGUCAGGGAGCAGCAGAAUUGGCCAGAACUGAGCAUCUGUGGGCCUGGAUCCUCCAGACAGACGGGCUUUGAUUCUGGCUCCUGUCACUCCCAGUCUCCCUCUUCACAUGUGCGCCACCCUCACCUGUCCGUUGUGUUUCACCUGUGUCUCGUUGACCCAGAAACCCAGCGUCUGACCCCCUAGCAAGCAACGAUGCCAGGGAAAACUCCCUUUAAACAGGAAGAAACCUUCAACGGGACCCGUGAACACCCGCGUUAGUUCAUUUUAUUUCAGGGAAUCUCAUUAGUGUGUUUUCACGCCACGGCUCGUGUUUUCAUGACUGUGUGAUUCCACUUUAUCGCCUGUUCUUGUUGUCUGUUUAACACACUCUGCUCCUUCCAUCUCGAUUACCUGCCUGGAUGAGAUUGAUUCAGUCAUAUAAUCAGCAAAUAAACAGUUAACUGAAUACGCAAACACACACUUCACACACACACACACACACACACACACACACACUCACUUUUGUCCUGUUUCCAGCCGUCUUUUGUGCUCAGUGGCAGCUGAGGCUGAAUGACCUGCCUGUGCGCUCUGUCCCGCCCUGGGUCACGAACCAGGCCGGACAAAAACAGAGCUUCAGACCCAAGAUGAAGGCAGCGACGGAGGCUCCUUCACAAGCAAAAGCUCUUUUAUUGCUGGUGUGCUUCGGGUCCAUCCACUCAGGUAUGU